RNAcentral lists this ribosomal RNA (809 nucleotides) under Cupriavidus sp. R-33. RNAcentral describes it as "partial 16S ribosomal RNA". It matches the Rfam family "Bacterial small subunit ribosomal RNA", at positions 47 to 832 of the family's 1533-position model. The record is from RNAcentral. Lineage: Bacteria; Pseudomonadati; Pseudomonadota; Betaproteobacteria; Burkholderiales; Burkholderiaceae.
CAUCCUUCCAUGCAGUCGAACGGCAGCACGGGCUUCGGCCUGGUGGCGAGUGGCGAACGGGUGAGUAAUACAUCGGAACGUGCCCUGUCGUGGGGGAUAACUAGUCGAAAGAUUAGCUAAUACCGCAUACGACCUGAGGGUGAAAGCGGGGGACCGGUAACGGCCUCGCGCGACAGGAGCGGCCGAUGUCUGAUUAGCUAGUUGGUGGGGUAAGAGCCUACCAAGGCGACUAUCAGUAUCUGGUCUGAGAGGACGAUCAGCCACACUGGGACUGAGACACGGCCCACACUCCUACGGGAGGCAGCAGUGGGGAAUUUUGGACAAUGGGGGCAACCCUGAUCCAGCAAUGCCGCGUGUGUGAAGAAGGCCUUCGGGUUGUAAAGCACUUUUGUCCGGAAAGAAAACGCGCUGGUUAAUACCUGGCGUGUAUGACGGUACCAAAGAAUAAACACGUCUAACUACGUGCCAACAGCCGCGGUAAUACAUAGGGGUGCGAGCGUUAAUCGAAAUUACUGGGGCAUAAAGCGUGCGCACGCGGUUUUGAUAAGACAGGCGUUAAAAUCCCCCGAUCUCCACUUUGAAAAUGGCGCUUGGGUACUGUCCACGCUAGAAUAUUUCAAAAAGGGGGGUUAGAAUUCCACGUGUACCCAUAAAAUGCCUAGAAAUGUGGGAGGAAUUACCGUGGGCGGAGGCCGCCCCUUGGCAUGUCUCUUGGCCGCUUAUGGCACAAAAACUGUGGGGGAGCAAAAAGAUUUUAAUACCCUGGUUAUCCCCCCCCCUAAACUAUUUCCAAUAAUUUUUUGGUAUUU